UCUCUUUGUUGGAAGCCGGUUGAUUUCCCCUGCCUGCAUCUGUCAAUUAAACAUUCAGCAUCGCAACCAGAGUCCAACGGUGGAUGUUUUGGAGUGAAAAACCUCUUGGAGGCGGCCUGUGCACGCCGUGCCACUUCUAAAAGCCAAGCUCCACCGGUGUGACCAAGGGAUGCUCGCGAGCGUUUCAAAGCAGCCUUUAAACCGACGCCGCUCGAGGAAAGCCGGACCCGCUGUUAUAACCGAGCAGCAAGAAAGAGCUGAGAGGGGAAAAGUUCCCCUCUUCGGCCGAUGCGGAGCGCACUGCCUCCACCUGGAGCUGCAGCGCGGAUCCACUCCUGGGGCACCCCCAACCCGUCCGGUUGUGCCUCCCACCCCCCACAAAGCCGUCCUUUACUUUGCCCUGCGAGGGGAGAACGCGGCACCGGCGGGGGGAAGCGAGGAGAUAAGUAACUAAAACAGAAACAUGGAUGCCAAAUUUAGGCUCUCCAGCUGCCUGGAGCGAGUGGAAAGAAUCAUCACAUGGGAAUGAUGCCCUGCCCAGGGCUGGCCCCAAUGCCUGGCCCUGCUCCCCUCCCCAUGCUUGGCACUGACCUGCCCCAAGGAACCCGCAGAUCCCAGCACUGGCUGCAGCCACCCCAUAUCUGCAGAUGGAAAACAAUCCCUGUUGAAGUCCCCUGGGUUAAACUCAAUUUUAAAGUGAAGAGAAAGAGGAAUAAUAAUAAUAAUUACAAUAAUAAAUGAAGAGAAAAAAAAAAAAAGAGCCUUUAUUGUACUUGAAGGGAAAGUGGGGGUUACUGAAAUUAAAGUUUUAUAUUUGCAUUUACAGGGCUCCUUAGGCUACUAAUGUUUGCGUUUUCAUAACAAAAAGAUUGUGCUGUUAAUUGAUGCAAGCAAUGGUGCACAAAUAAAUCCCAAUCUUGGAUGAUUUCUUAAGGGAACAGCCACUACAAUUCCCCAUUGUCAAGCGUGAACUGAGCAAGUCAUCAGUGCCAAAAAGCAGCCUCUGUGCCUGGGUCAAUAAAAUGCAAGAGAUUCAUUGGUAAUACUUGUUUAUUCAUAAAUGCAAUUAUUGGAUACACCACGCACCGGCCUCCCUUUUAGGGCUCAGCUUUUCCUCUCCUCUAAGACCAGUCUUGUAGUACAAAAUAGAGCAGGGUUAGGAUGCUUGCA
Long non-coding RNA from Coturnix japonica (Japanese quail), 1170 nucleotides. RefSeq lists it as uncharacterized. NCBI's taxonomy places the organism in Eukaryota, Metazoa, Chordata, Aves, Galliformes, Phasianidae. The record is from RefSeq and is a predicted model, not a curated record.